Molecule: non-coding RNA, 432 nt
Organism: Paramuricea clavata
Lineage: Eukaryota; Metazoa; Cnidaria; Anthozoa; Malacalcyonacea; Plexauridae
Source: the annotation of a GenBank genome assembly
UUUCAAAUGUCUUGGGACAGAUGCCACAAAACCUUUGAAUUUCAACAAACGUCAAUCCCCCCGCCCCCUGUUCAAUGUUGUGUCCCAUUUCCCGUCAGGUUUGAUGUGUUUUGGUUUAAGCAACAUUGAUUGGGGUGGGGGAAGGGGAGCGGUAUUGUGUGUAAAAAACUGUAAUGAUACACUUACAAUCUAAAACUACAUGUGUCCCAACAACUUCUGAAAGUGAUUGUUGAUAGGUUUCCCUAUUCAUGUCGACGAACGUUAUAGAUUGCCCUUUACUCAUUUGGUCAAAAUUUAAAUUAGUGACCGGUCAUUAUUUAUGGCAGGGGUGGGGGCCGAAGAGAAAAUGGUGGGGUAACUGAAAAAUAAUACUUGCUUUAGGUGGGGUGGCCCAAAAAUCCUUGCAUGCAGAGGUGGGGUAAAUUUUAAUCA